UAACUACCUGGCUGAUUAACACAUUCAUGCUGACAGAGAAAUUCUGAGAAGCUGCAUUCAUCCAUAUCUGCAAAUGCUAUUAGAAGUUGUCCCAGAGAAAGAGCUACUACAGUAUGCAGUACUGGACCCAGAGGGGAACACAGACCAGUCAGAGAGUCCUUGGACCAACCAGGUAGAGCAGGAGAAUCAUUAUGAUGGUACCCCAAAAGCAACCAAGUCUAUGAACUGGAGAAUCAGAACUUUGAAGAGGUUGGAGGCAUAUAAUCAGUUCCUUGGGGAAAAUGAUGCUCCAAAGAACAGACAGAAUUGCAUCAUCACACCAGAGGCUCAGCUGGAAUUCUCAUCCAUCCUUCCUGUUCAUGGAAGAGGAUCUGAGGAAGAGAAAGAAGAACACUGCAAACCAGUGACUGACUAUAUAAAUGAUGUCCAGAAGAGAGAUUUGUUUUCUGGGACAUGGACAGAAUUAUCUGGAUUAUGGACUGCUGGCACAAGAGUGACUGCACCUCACAAAGUUUGAUAAAAAUGUGUUCGGUGAGGUUAAUUAGGAAGGCUUUUAAACUGAAACUUGUGAAGUAUGAAAAUGAAAACCCUAAACUCAGAACUAUAGAUAAAGACAUGUACAUUGUAGAAAGUGGAAGUGCUGCUGAAAUGGGGCCUCUUAGACCAGUCAGAGAAAAAUCAUAACGCUCAUCUGGCAUGAGAUCUGUAGCAGGCACAAUGCCAGUGGUAGGGAGGACAGGUUACUUCAAUCAUUCAUGAGACUUAGUAGUGACUAGUAGCACUGCUACAGAGGUCAUCAGAUGUGAAUACCUUAUGUGAGAUGGGACUGUAGGGAGAAGCUAGGGUUGCUGUUGGUGUACAAUUCUCCUGUUGCCUGGUAGUGGCUCUCCUGGAGUUCCUAAGGCUCAUCACCUAGGUGAGUCUCCUAAGCUUUUGCUACAGGUGAAUGCCUUGAGGUAGUUGUCCUGGUUGGCUUAGGGUUUUGCAGCCUCCAUGAUGACCAUGGGUUUGUCCUAGAUAAUCUUUUUCUUGAAACAAAUAUGCUGGAUCAGGUUUUUACUUCAAAUGCAUAAAAUGCAUAGUCACAGACAUGAAUAUGGAGGACACUGUUCUUUGCUGUUAUCAGAUCAUUUCCAGUCAGGCUGCAGAACGUGAGGACCCUUUGGUGGACCAAUUACAGCAAUCCACCAGGUGUCUGAUCAAUCCUGAAGGUUUUCUGAGGGCAAUUAGUGUGUCUUGAGUCUGGUCAAUCUCUGGUAUAAAGAGAUGGCCAGAGCAUUGGAUGAGAUUGACCCUAUGAGGCCUUUUCCCAGGUGCCAAUCCCAAGUGACUCCUUGGUUUUUAGAGUUGUGAUGAAGAAUAAAGCAAAUGAAAAGAUGCCUAGAUCAAUGGUGGCAUAAGAUUAAAAGUGAGUAGGGCCAAGGAUAAGUAUGUACCUAUUUUUUACCUACAUAGUGGCAAUAAGAGUGGUGAGGUGUGUGUAUUUUUCUGAAUGUUUUGUGUCCAGAGAUUCCUGCCCAGCAUCCCUGUUCAGGGUGACACAGAUUAUCCUGGGGAGCAACACAAGGGACAAGAAGCUUGCAAACCACUGUCGUGCUUCUGUCCAUUUCUUUGUGGAUAAAAUUGCUCAUGUGCAUUCAGGGUUAAACAACAUUUGGGCAGAGCCAUGUGAUAUGAGUGGAGGAAUAUCUUGCAAUGUAACCUGAGGUUCUUCUGAAUUUGUGGAACCUGAGGAAGUAGAUAGGGUGCUCUGUAAUAAGAAAUCUUCCAUCUGUGGGCUGGACCCAAGUCCAGUUUGGCUCUUAUGUUGAGCAUUUAUGUAUGUAUGGCUAAAUUAUGAAGGUGAGCAAGAGAGCAAAUGUCUCCAUCUUUAAAAAGGAGGAAAGGAAAGAUCCAGCAAACUACAGACCAGACAGUGAAACAUUGAUAUCUGGAAUGAUUCUACAGCUGAUCAUAAAGAGAUAAGAUCUUGAAAACAAUGCAGUAAGAACUAGAAGUCAGCAAUGACUUGUCAGUAACAAAUCUUUAUAUCUUAUCUCAUUUUUUGAUUGAGAAACUUCUUUAUUAGAUGGGAGGCAUGCUAUAAACAUAAUACAUCUUGAUUGUAGCAAAGCAUUUGACAAAAUACUCCAUGACAUGCUGAUUAGAGAAGUUAGUUAAAUGUGGGCUGAAUAUCAUGGCAAUUAAGUGGCCACAUAGCUGUCUUGAAAAUCAAGAAUGCUCAUCAAAUUGGAGUAGCAUGAUUUGGAUGAAGAGGUAGACAGAAUACUUAUUCAAUCUCAAUGUCACAAAAUUGCAUUGGAAAAGACUGAAUUAAAAUUCAAAAUGAUCUUGAUGCAUUGGAGAAUGGGGCUGAAAGUAACCAUAGUAACAAUAAAACUUCACAGAGACAGGUGCAAAGUUCACUUAGGAAAUAAAAUUCAAAUGCACAAAUAUAGUAUAGGAAUAUCUGGCUUGAUAAUAGUAAUGGUAAAAAACUGUCUUGGAGUUAGAGUUGAUUGCAAUCUGACUAUGAGCCAGCAGUGCAAUAUGAACUCAAAGAAGUCAAUGCAGUUUUAAGCUGCAUUAACAGAAUAUGAUUUCCCAAUCAUCCAAAGUAAUUUUUCCUUGGUCAGACCCCUUUCAAGUACAAUGACCAGUUUUGAGGAUCACGCUUCAAGAAGGAUUCAGCGAAAUCAGAACAGGUUCAGAGAAGGGCAAUGAUCAGAGAGCUGGAAAGUAAACGCUAUAAAAAAAGCCUGAAGGACCUGGAAAUGCUUAUUUUUGAGAAGAGACAAGUGAGAGGAGCUGUGAUAGCCCUCUUCAAAUAUUUGAAAGGUUGCCACAUAAAGGAACAUCAAGAUCUGUUCUCUCUCCUUCUAGAGUAGAGUACAUGGAAUAAUGGUUUUAAGUGACAGGAGGACAGAUUAUGAAUGACUAUUAGAAAACAAUUCCUAAAUUAAGAGCAGUUCAUGAUGGAAAAAUAGGGACAUUCAAAAAUCAUUUGAUAUCAGGAUUCUUUCUAAGAUAUAUUAAAAGUGAAGUGAGAUGCAUACCAUAAAAUCUAAAUACUUUACCACUCCACCAACUGUCAGAUGUAAUAAAUUCACAAAUAGCAUAUUUAUCUUACUCAGACUGUGAGGAAACUUAAAGGGAAAGAAGAAGUAUGUGAAUUAGUAACCAAAGAAAAAUUGUAGAUUUUAAAUGUACUUGGAAUGAUAACAUACCUUCUUUUAAGCACUUCUAAUUGCAUUCCCAUAGAACUUUGAUUUGUCUUCUCACAUAUAUUACUUUCUGUAAAAUGUAAAUGCCAUAUCAUAGUCACAUCCUUUGUUGGCCACUGAUUGUACAAUCAACAGGAAGUUGCAGCUAGUGUUGGCUCUUAUAUGAUAAAUGUAUUUUUCAGAUAUUUCUUGUCAUUGUCACACUUCAAAUGUUUGGAUCAUUUACAAAAUGUGUAUAUUAUUAUUCUAAAAUAUAUAUAUUGUAAAAAGUGGCUCAUUUCAGGAGGAAUAUAAUUGUAAAAAUUGGCAAAAGUCAGAUAUAUGGAAAGUCCACAAGGUGAAAUGCAGCAUUUACAUUUCUAAAAGGCAGGAUACAUUUAUUCUUGAGACAAGAUAUUAAAGCAACGUUUGCCUUUUCUUAUAGCAGCCUUGGCCAAUCUUGUACCCUUUAAGUCUGAAAAUGCAGUCUGGCAAAUUUGCAAGUGUUGAUAAACGAAUUCAUAUUUCUAUAUAUUUUGGCCAAACAUCUUGAUUGUGGCAUAGAAAUGCAGCCAGAUUUAGGUCUGGAAUCAAAAUGAAGAGAAACAAAUAAAACUGAACCAAGAAACAUAUAUCAGGAGCCAAGAAUAGCAAUCAGUUUUAUGUGUCAAUAUGAGUGUUGCCAUCUCUUGAUGUUAUAUCAAAGCUACAGACAGUACAAUUUUCCAGAAGACUGAGGACUAUUUCAACAUGACAGCAGACAUGUGGAACCUUCCAGAAAGCUGCUACAGUGGAGUAUAACAUGAAGAAUACCCAAACUAGGAGCUUGGAAAAGCCACCAUUGGAAGUUCUUUAUUUCCUGAGUUUGACAGAAGAUGUACACUCGAGUAAAUACAUAUGAAAGCAAAUAAGUUUUUCACCAGUUAAGGCAAUGGCUUUCUUUAGAACUUCUGAGGAGUAAAGCCUACAGAUUCUCUGUUUGAACUGACUAAAACAUUGUUCAGCAAAAUUCAGGUCUAAAUAGGCUUUGGUAGGCCAGUGGAUGGAAAUGAGGGUGGAAAUAAAUUUAGGGGUGAAAUCCUCUUAGCCUUCCCAGCUCCAGUCCAACAAAUUUAAUUCAUGCCAAUGAGCCUUUCUUUAUAAUGUAUUUAUUUAUUUUGAUUUAUUAGCCGCCCAAUGGACUCCAAUGGACUUAAUACAUAGGAGGGGAUUAGGGAUGGUGUUGUUUGGGGCUGGUACAAUAUGGGAGGGAAGAUUAGUCCUCUCAUCUGUUUUCCCUUCUCCCCUCACCAACACAGUUCCAGGGGCAGGAAUGGGAUGAUUGUUUCUGAGGCAAACAGCGAUGGAUGGAAUUUUUGGUAGCUUGCAGCUAGGAAGGAUAGCAUUUUAACAUGUUGCCAUUAAGAAACAAGCAAUAUGGCUUAGAGAUCAUUAGAGCUGGGUGCCUCCUUUUUCAAAAACAUUCAUGAACAACGAACACUUGCAAUACUGUCCUUAAUAAUUACACAAAAACACUAAUAUGCAAGCUGCAGGAAAAGCUGCAGUCACUGACAAAAUAAAUUCUGGAGAAAUAAGAAUCAGUGGAACUUCUCCAACUUAAUCCAAGGCCAUAAAUAUAGGUGCAAAAGCUUUUGGUGCAUUAAACAGAUCUUUUUUCUCAAUCAUCUUGUAGCCCAUAACAAAAAGCUACUAAUGGGCAAGAUAAUUUAGUUGUUCCUUAUAUGCUUUUAUUCAGUAUGUGAAAUGGUUCCUAUGCUAAAUUAAAUUAAAAUAGACUGGAAAUAUUAAAACCUGUAUUAAAUGUAAAUGUUUUGCCAGUGCUAAAAGAGAGAAAAAUGAAUACUGCAAUGAAAGAAAAGCCAGCUCAGAUUUGAGAAAGAGAAUAAGCAACAAAUAAAAUUGCUACUUGCUUCAUUUAGACAUAACCUUAAACUAAGCACCAGACAUAAUAGCUCCCUGUUCUUUUCUCCCCUUGGGUGAAGUCAGAAGGAAGAAAAAUCCAUUGCUCUUGUUUUUCAUAUCUAUGCUUCAGCAAACUGCAGUUAGUCUUAACCAUGGUAAGUUGCAAAGCUGUGCCGGUGAAGAGAAAGAAGGAAAUAAACUAUUCUGAGGCUCAUUCGCAUCACUCUAAACCAUAUACACGAGAAUCAGAUCCAUGUGCUGCAAUGGAAAGACUGAGCAGAUCUAGAUUUGAAUCUUGCUCAGCAAUGAAACUUCAGGGCUUCAGGCUUUAGUCUAAUAUUUCUCUCAGGGUUUUUGUAAAGACAAUAGGUAAAAAUAACAUUAUUCUAAUCUCCUAGAAAGAAGGAUAGAAUAAAGGUAUAAUACAUAAUUACAUUCUGCAGGUCUUGAGAACCAAAUGUUUCAGUUCACAUCUGCUCCUUCUAUGAUGAACCUGCUUAGAUGACAGGAAGUCUCACUGUAUUGUGAGGGCCGCAUUGUCCAAUGAAAGAAAACUGGUCUUUCAUUAUGGAAUUUAAUGUCAUGAGAAAUGAUCUCUUCACUACACAUUUAUAAAAGUGAAUUGU
Molecule: non-coding RNA, 5710 nt
Organism: Python bivittatus (Burmese python)
Lineage: Eukaryota; Metazoa; Chordata; Lepidosauria; Squamata; Pythonidae
Source: RefSeq, a predicted model, not a curated record